GACGAACGCUGGCGGCGUGCCUAAUACAUGCAAGUCGAGCGCAGGAAGUCAUCCGAACCCUUCGGGGGGACGUUGACGGAAUGAGCGGCGGACGGGUGAGUAACACGUAAAGAACCUGCCCUCAGGUCUGGGAUAACCACGAGAAAUCGGGGCUAAUACCGGAUGGGUCAUCGGACCGCAUGGUCCGAGGAUGAAAGGCGCUCCGGCGUCGCCUGGGGAUGGCUUUGCGGUGCAUUAGCUAGUCGGUGGGGUAAUGGCCCACCAAGGCGACGAUGCAUAGCCGACCUGAGAGGGUGAUCGGCCACACUGGGACUGAGACACGGCCCAGACUCCUACGGGAGGCAGCAGUAGGGAAUCUUCCACAAUGGACGAAAGUCUGAUGGAGCAACGCCGCGUGAACGAUGAAGGCCCUCGGGUCGUAAAGUUCUGUUGUAAGGGAAGAACAAGUGCCGCAGGCAAUGGCGGCACCUUGACGGUACCUUGCGAGAAAGCCACGGCUAACUACGUG
Molecule: ribosomal RNA, 508 nt
Filed under: uncultured bacterium
Lineage: Bacteria
Description: partial 16S ribosomal RNA
Rfam family: Bacterial small subunit ribosomal RNA
Source: RNAcentral